Molecule: ribosomal RNA, 323 nt
Filed under: uncultured Cercomonas
Lineage: Eukaryota; Cercozoa; Cercomonadida; Cercomonadidae
Description: SSU rRNA
Rfam family: Eukaryotic small subunit ribosomal RNA (bases 59-323)
Source: RNAcentral
GAUUUCUGGUGUGGUGCGCCGAGCCCGCCACUUUUGGUGGCGAGUGCUUGUUGUGCGCCUACCAUCCUUCUGGAUAGCGUGCUCUACCCUUUACUGGGCCGGAGUACGUGAUCUAGAUCUUUUACUUUGAAAAAAUUAGAGUGUUUAAAGCAGGCUUAUGCUAUGAAUACAUUAGCAUGGAAUAAUAAGAUAGGACUUUGGUUCUAUUUUGUUGGUUUCUAGGACUGAAGUAAUGAUUGAUAGGGACAGUUGGGGGUGCUAGUAUUUAACGGCCAGAGGUGAAAUUCUUGGAUUCGUUAAAGACUAACUUAUGCGAAAGCAUU